CCUACGGGCGGCAGCAGUGGGGAAUAUUGCGCAAUGGGCGAAAGCCUGACGCAGCGACGCCGCGUGAGGGAUGAAGGUCUUCGGAUCGUAAACCUCUGUCAGCAGGGAAGAACGGUCACUGUGCUAAUCAGCAGUGAAUUGACGGUACCUGCAAAGGAAGCAGCGGCUAACUCCGUGCCAGCAGCCGCGGUAAUACGGAGGGUGCGGGCGUUAAUCGGAAUUACUGGGCGUAAGGCGCUCGUAGGCGGUAUGUCAAGUCAAGGGUGAAAGCCCCGCGCUCAACGUGGGAACUGCCUUUGAAGUCGGCAAACUGGAGUGUGUGAGAGGAUAGUGGAAUUCCAGGUGUAGGAGUGAAAUCCGUAGAUAUCUGGAGGAACAUCAGUGGCGAAGGCGACUAUCUGGCACAUAACUGACGCUGAGGAGCGAAAGCGUGGGUAGCAAACAGGAUUAGAUACCCGAGUAGUC
RNAcentral lists this ribosomal RNA (465 nucleotides) under uncultured bacterium. RNAcentral describes it as "partial 16S ribosomal RNA". It matches the Rfam family "Bacterial small subunit ribosomal RNA", at positions 338 to 795 of the family's 1533-position model. The record is from RNAcentral.